This is a long non-coding RNA of Brienomyrus brachyistius, 1259 nucleotides long. RefSeq lists it as uncharacterized. NCBI's taxonomy places the organism in Eukaryota, Metazoa, Chordata, Actinopteri, Osteoglossiformes, Mormyridae. The transcript is spliced from 4 exons. The record is from RefSeq and is a predicted model, not a curated record.
GGUGUAACUGCCAUUAGGGUCAGUUAUGCUGCUUUAAAUUUAUUUAAUGAAUUUAAAUAGACGAAUAAUUUAAACAUAACUGAAAUCGCAGCAUUAUUUGAUUUAAACGAAGAAUUUAGUAAUUAACAUAAUUAUAAUUAAAGGCAUGUGUUUGUAAGGAUCUUUCUAGUAUUUCUAUAGCGGAACUAAUCUUGCGUGUUGCUUGGGGUCUGGUCAGUUUUGUUGGUAACAUUUUCGUUCCGCUCAGUUAAGUGUAUCACUGGUUAUGCGGCUGAGAAAGUGUUUUAAUUUACAAGUGUCAAUAUUCAUGCGGAUAGGAGUUAUUGUAUAAGCUACAGUCAUACGUUUUCUUUCUUUAACUCCUCUUGAAUUAACGCGGCCAAUGAGUUCUCACGGCAUGCUCGACCGGAUGGAUACGCGAAUAAAUGCUCGUGAUCAGAGAUCAACUUGUGUUCGUUAUUGAGAGGACUUACAAGGGGGGCUGCGGUGGCCUCAUAGGAAAGAUACGUAUCAUCAUCAUCAUCAUUAUUACUACUUGAUAUGCUUUGCUAAGCAGACCUACCAGAUGCAUGAGGCUUCUGAAGAAACAAUCUGUGAUCAUCAAUUUCCAUUUUUCUUCAAUUUCAUCCGGAAUAGCCGCGGUGAUCGGCGGAAGACGUUAUGUCGAAGAGAGCGACUUUUUCGCAGUUUAGGGUUUUUCCUGUCCGACGUCUCUCCUCUCCUCUCCCCUCUGCGUUCAAACGGAGGUAAGCCCGCCUUCUGAAAACAUAAUUUUAACAGGUAGAACGGGAUUUUUAAAAUUUAGUAACAGUGAUGUUAACUCUGCAGGUUUUGGUACACUCCGUCGUCCUAAAACAUACAGGAUGCCAUCGCACAGACAAUAUACCGAGAUCACACCUGCAAGAAAUACCACACAGACCUUGGCUUUCAAAGCAGCCUGCCGAGGGGGCUGCAUCGUUUCGUUACUGUGAACUCUAUGUCUGUUUUUGAGUGUUAUUUAUUAGUGUAAUUUCAUCGAAAGGGACACUUUAAAAACAUCACCCCCCCCCCCAGGCUAGUUCCACCGCAAACAAUUAUGUUCGGCAGGUCUGCAUACGGCUGAUUUCUGAUGUCACUCCUCCCUUACUGCCAGAGAGCACAAUUACUGUAGAAAAAACGAAACAUUAAAGCCUAACUCUGUGUUAACAAGAAUGAUUAAAAAAAAAAAAAAAAAAAAAACACGCGUAGACAUUCAGGGAGUCCAGCUAAAAGUCUAAUGU